AGAUUGGGCAUACUGCUGGAUCGUUUGUCAAGCUUUGUGAGAGAAAUCUGGAAGAUACAACCAAUAUUGUAGAUUUACAAAAUAUUUUUUUUUCUUUUCUUGAGAGCGAACUGACAGCUCUUGAAGAAGGAUGGAAAGAGAAAGAACAACAGCACCAACAAACAACAAAUAUUGUCAAGCAACAAACCAUAUCUCUCA
This 198-nucleotide non-coding RNA is filed under the name Paramoeba aestuarina. The record is from RNAcentral. Lineage: Eukaryota; Discosea; Flabellinia; Dactylopodida; Paramoebidae.